Habropoda laboriosa is the source of this 120-nucleotide non-coding RNA. Lineage: Eukaryota; Metazoa; Arthropoda; Insecta; Hymenoptera; Apidae. The record is from Rfam.
GUCAACGGUCAUACCGCGCAUGUACCUACCGGUUCUCGUCCGAUCACCGAAGUCAAGAUGCGUUGGGCACGGUUAGUACUUAGAUGGGUGACCGCUUGGGAACUCCGUGUACUGUUGGCA